This 5146-nucleotide long non-coding RNA is filed under the name Manduca sexta (tobacco hornworm). Its description in RNAcentral is "uncharacterized LOC119192060". The record is from RNAcentral. Lineage: Eukaryota; Metazoa; Arthropoda; Insecta; Lepidoptera; Sphingidae.
CUCGGCCUCGCCGCGCGCGCACGACCUGGCGCUGUGCGCGCGCCCGCUGUCGCUGCCGGGUGAAAGCCACCUCCGCACAGCACUGAGUAAAAAGUCAACCCAACAGAGCGAGCGGUUUUCCCUCCUGCAACACCCGCGGCCUCUCCGAAGACCUCACUCCCGGAGGGACGAAGACAGCGUGCAACUGGUGCAAGACUGUGAUAAGUAAUGCACUCUACAGGUUCCGUAUUCCUGAUAUCCAAGAGUUGAAGCAGUGGCAGAUGUCGAGGCAUGUUCGUUAGAUCCCUUCCAAAUUUUAGGGUCAAAAGGAGAUGGUUAUUGUGAAAAUUAAGAUCGAUAUUGUGCGGUCGAUAAUUUUUUUCCAUUGAAGGAUAUUGCGUGUAAUUAAGUCGAUUUUAAAGGCAGUGAAAUUGUUGGAUGAAGGGCUAAUACCUUGGGAACUAUGGUUUUGAGUCCAAAAUAUAUGGUUCAACGCCAAUUUUAAAAUAAAUGAUGGGUCGAUUAAUGUGAAGAUUUUGUCGGAAAUAAGUAUUCUAACGUCGAUAAAUUUAUCGAUAGAUUAUGGUGAUUCGCUAGUUUACUACUUUACCAUUCAUUAAAAUUAUUGAUCCCUAAAUUUUACUCUAUACAAUCUAGGGUUCCGUAGUUUUUGGUUAAAAAAGGGUGGGCUGUCGAGAAAAUCAAAGUCUCUGUCGAUAUACGAAUAAGUUGAUAUAUGUCGAAUGAACGAUAAAGUAUUGUUUCGAAGUCCUGCGAUGACUUCGCUGAUUCGUGCUUGUACCAUACCUAAAAUUUUCCAAUCCUGAAUUUGGAUUUUCUCAAAUAUAGAUUUGAGAAAAUCCAACCGAAAUUUGUAAUGGAUAGCCGUUACAAAUUUCGGGAUAUAAAGUUAUCUGUGAAAAUCAGUGUUAAUAUUAGAAAUGGUAAAGUCGAUAAAAAUGUCAGUAAUAUUACUACCUCAAGGUCAAUGGUAAUGCUAGAUUGUGGCUGUGCCAUGAGUAAUAAAAAUCGGCCGUUUCGAUUCCAUCAAAUCGGGAAUUAGAAACGUUUCGUCUGAUUGAUUUGCAAUCGUAUGUAGUUCGGUUUAAUGAUUACUAUUAAAUGAUUCCUACAGAGAUAUUAGUUUCUUUGGUUGAGAAAAAAUUGCACAGGUAGUUCACAGUAGUGUUGGCCGAAAUCGGUUAAAAUUAGAACGACACUAAUCAAAGAUUAUUUAUCGAUUUUUUGUAGUUAAAUUUACUUCAAUAUUAGUUCCUCUUACAAAGCUGAGUCUUUAGAUAUUCGUGUCUUAAAAUGCAAUUUAUUAGAAACGUUAAAAUAUAAGGCAGACCACAAUACAUUUUAUGGUCGAUAUCUUAAACGGUUUUAAUAUCGUGCAAAAUCUGGAUAGGGAUGUGUUUGUGUGCUGUCAAAUGUAAGCAGUCAUAUACGUUUAUCAUAGGUGUUUGUAUUCUUGUCAGUCGAAAAUUACAAUUCAUAAAACAACCCCGAUUUUAAUAAACAAUCUCAAUCGCUUUUUGUGAAUGAUCGCGAAAAUUUACUAAUAAGAAUAGUUUCUUUGACAAAUUUAUCAUUGACUUAAAUCGAUUGGUUUGUUCUUAGGUUCGACUCGACGAUUGAGAUUGUUUAUUUAAAUCGGUUUGUAGGCUCUAUGGACAGAUGGCGGUCGCUUCCUUAUAAUAAUAGCCAAAGCCUUCCUUCUUCCUAUUUGUAUUGAAUUAUCGCUAGCUAUUUCAAGAAAUUGUUUUACAUUGACCGCCUUUGAUUUUUUUUAAUCCAUAGAUAUGUUAUCGAGCUUUGUUUGUCUUAAUGCGUCGAGUAUACCUCAAAUUUCUAAGUAUCAAGUAUUCAUCUCUUACAGUCGUUUUCAACAGACAAUCCCAAUCUCAACCUUUAAUCCGAUACCGAGAAUGCACCAAUCAAACUAACUCAUUUGUAAGCGUGUGAAAUACAUCUUUGCUCUGAUUGGUCCAUUUUUGAGAUAGAUCUGGGAUGAGAUUUUGAGAUGGUUUAUUGAAAACGACGGUUAGUGGUUCUAUCUUAGGAAUUUGCAUGCAUGUUUAUCGAAGUUACAACUAUUUAUAUUUAUCACAGAGUUAAAUAGUUACAUCGUCAUUCGCUAUUGGCUUCGUACGCCCAGAAAAGUUCAAAUUACUUAAUAAACUAUUUUUUUGAAAGAUUUCUUCGAUAAUUGUUAAAAUUAGUUUUAUUCCGAAUUUUAGAUGUUGGAAUUUGUACUGAAAAUUGUGUUGGCAUCGAAUUUUUUAUGCGAAUGUUUUGAACGUUCAUUGGCGUCAAUAAAAUAUAAUCAAAUUUUGUCUUUUUGGCUUAUGGUUUUAAAUGUUUUAUUUCGUUGUUAAGAGUUUUAUAACCUUAUGAAAAGUUUUUAUCGACAACUUAAUUUUUUUGAUUAUUUUGUAAAUGAUUAUAUUACCAAAUAAGGUACUAUAUCUGUAAUUUUAACGUAAGACUAAGAGGUUUUUGAACAACACGCGAAUUCCUAAAAAUGCUCACCGUAGUGAAUAAUGCAACAUAUAACAUUUAGCACGAAGUUGACAUUUUUAUCGAUAUUAAAUAAAGUAACUUUCUCAUUAAAUCUAGUUAAAACUUCGACAAUAAACAUUAGUAUAGAGGUUUUAAUUCAAUCAAGUAAAAUUAACCAAUUUUCUUAUCUACUGUCGAUUUUUUCAUCUUAUAAUAUUGCGACAAUAAUUAAAUGAAACCAUGAUACAAAUUAUACAGCAUACAAUCGAUUAUAAUCUUGCGAAUAUAAUUUAUCGAUAUCGAUAAAAAUGUCAAUUCGUAUCGAUUUUUGGAUUAGAUACACUGAACAUAGUAUUUGAUUAGAACGGUAUUAUAUUGUUACAAUUAAAUAAGCUUUAUUAGUAAAAUAAUAUAGUUAAUAGUGUUACACGCAAAUAGUUCUAAGAACUUGUAAAAAAAAUAAUGGUUAUUGAUUUUUAGCGAUAUUAAGGAAAUGUGAGGAAUUAUACCAAAGGAGUUUUGAGUGGUACAUAACAUUUUUCGCCAUAUUUAUUUUUUUGCAGGCACGGCCAAGUGACCCCAUGCAUGCAUGGUAAGUGGAGUGGGGUCUAGAUAGAGAGUGACUGAUGAGAGACUGAUUAUCCCUCGCCAGUCGCCUCAACUUUGCCGGUCUAAUUCAAAAUCUUCUGUGUGUACUACAAACAUACAUAGGAGAUUUUAAUUUUAUAACGAUAUUAAAACAUUUACUUACACAACAAGAAUUCGAUUUUAAACUUGGAACAUUCGAUUUACUAAAGACUUCGUCAUAUCACACGUCAUUUUAAGGCUCAUAUUUAAUUAAAUUUAUUGUAUUUAUGUUUUCAUGAGAAUUAAGGUUUGCUUCCUUAUAGCUUGUUGUUUUAAGUUCUAAGAUGGUUAUAUAUUUUUAUAAAAACAAAUGAAGUUAUUUAAUGCUAAAGUACGCCUUCCAGGAAAUUGAUGCAGUAGCUGAAUUUGGUUUUUGGAUAUUUAUACAUUGUUACCGUCACUAGUCCCUAAUAUUAUGAAGUGUCCAUCUAACUAGUUUUUAAUUUUGUGUUUGUUUACGUUUUGUGUUGGAUAUUGGAAGUAUUUACAAUCGCAUUGUGGCAGUCCUACUCAUUCUAUUUUGUUGUACGUUACUGUAAAAAUUCUUGAGUUUUAGUACUUUAUAAUUUUUUUUACAGCCUUAAUACAUUGUGUUGUGUGAAUAUAUUUUUAUGAAUAUGUUGUAAGUGAAAAUCGUUACGAAUAGCAAAUGAAAUCCAUCUGACAGUAUAUAGGAUAUUUUUUUCUCGUAUCGAUAAUUUCAAAGUCGAUAUUUUGGCGAGAAUUAAUAUUGUAUGGUUACCAAUCUAUUUCAAGUUAUUGUUGUCAAUGGAAAUAAUAGCCUGUUUAUAUCUCGCUAAAGUCCUUAUUCUAUUAUAUUAAUGACGUUAUAUCCCGACUGUAUUUUCGGUGCUCUUUAAUUCAUCGAGCUUAGAACCUUAUUACUUUAGAAUAUUUAUUGUUCGUUUGUUAAAGUUUCGUGUGUCUAACGAAUAUUAUUGUUCUUAUAUUUGUAAAUUUGAUUGUGUUGGAACUAAUUAAGAGGACUUUGUAAUGUUAUAAAAAAUAUGUUUUUGAUAUUCAGUUUUUAUAAGUCUGUAAAAAAUUUGCCAACAUGACAUUAGUAUUUGUCUAAUAAAUAAUUAUUGAUUUUCAGGACAUUUUAUUGUUUUGUAAUGUAUUUUUAAUACGUUUAAUUGUUAUCGCUAAUCGUAUUAAAUCGAAAAUAUAUUUAAGUUAUUGUAAAAUAAAUAAUUUUCGCUAGACAAACAGUGUUUACCCUUGUUAAUUUGUUUAUUGUUUUAUAUUAUUCUAAUCCCCAGCAAAUACUCGCUUAGUGUAAGAUUUCAAUUUGUAGGAAAUGUACCAAGAUUGUAACGUGCCACACGAUAUAUUUCUAUAAAGGAUAAAUAUAUCGAUAUCGAUAAAUAAUGAGAGGUCGAUAAUUUAGAUUGAUAAAUGAUUUAAAUAUCGAUAUCGAUAAAAUAUAAAGCAAUAGUCAAGCGUGAAAACAACUGCAAGCUGUGUCAUUCCUUCCAAAAUAUUUUAAUUUAUUUUUAAAAUAUUUUGUAGUGUCUUAGGUUUAGUUAGAGCAUAUUGAAAAUAUUUUUUAUCGAUUUUCGGUGUCGCGUAUUUUUAUCUCUAUUUUACGUUGGAGGUUACAAACACUUGAUAGAAAUAUGAAAAUUGAAAUAAAGGUUAAGUUAUGUGCUAUAAAUAUAUGUAAAUGUAUAGUUUCAAAUAGUUUUACUUUUAAUUCGAUAUUAGUAUAAGUGCAAUCAUUUUUACGUUUAUGAUUCGUGCCAUUCAUUUACUAAUGUCACGGUCAGCAUAAAAAUAUAAUUUUAUCGAAGACUAUUUUAACGAUUUAAAGCUUAUUGAAUUUAAAACGACAUAAUCGCUACCACAUUUAGAUUUUUUUAAUCAUGUAAUUACUUUUUAUUCUGACCGUAAUAUACCAACCAAAGAGUAGGCCAAUUGUACCGUAUUACAUGUGUGUAGGGUUAAAUGUACGGUGUUAUGUUGUGUCGCGGACAUUCGCUGGUCGAUGUAGCCGCCGUGUCUGUAUAGAGUUAAUAAAGAACUAUUACAUUUA